AACGAACGCUGGCGGCGUGGCUAAGGCAUGCAAGUCGAGCGGAUCUACCUUGAGGGUAACUGAAGGGUAGGUUAGCGGCGGACGGGUGAGGAAUAUGUGGAUAACGUACCCUGGACACGGGGAUAGCGGCGGGGGCAACCCCUAGCGAAAGCGCCGGUAAUACCCGAUGACCUCGUGGAAUCGCAUGGUUUUGCGAGCAAAAGCUCCGACGGUCUGGGAUCGGUUCACAUCCUAUCAGCUAGUUGGCGGGGUAACGGCCCACCAAGGCAUCGACGGGUACCGGGUGUGAGAGCAGUGGCCCGGCACAUCGGAACUGAGACGACGGGUCCGGACACCGUACGGGUGGCUGCAGCAAACGAAUAUUCCGCAAUGGACGCAAGUCUGACGGAGCGACGCCGCGUGU
RNAcentral lists this ribosomal RNA (403 nucleotides) under uncultured bacterium. RNAcentral's name for it is "bacterial SSU rRNA". It matches the Rfam family "Bacterial small subunit ribosomal RNA", at positions 28 to 404 of the family's 1533-position model. The record is from RNAcentral.